This 308-nucleotide signal recognition particle RNA is filed under the name Helianthus annuus (common sunflower). Its description in RNAcentral is "Protozoan signal recognition particle RNA". It matches the Rfam family "Plant signal recognition particle RNA". Lineage: Eukaryota; Viridiplantae; Streptophyta; Magnoliopsida; Asterales; Asteraceae. The record is from RNAcentral.
ACCGGGCAUGGUAACGCUUGCCUGUAACUCAAGUGAGGGUGUUAAAGACGGUUGGACGCUGAAUCAGCAAAGUCAGGUUGGCUCCAUUGGUGCACAAACUGGCUUGCCCGUUCCAAGUUGUGAGUUGGACCAUGUGACUUGAGCGAAGGCUUGGGUCAUGUGGUCCCUAAAGUAGGGGGCACUGCGUAAGGCUGGCUUCACAGAGCCGCGAAAACCCCUCGCUCACGACAGUGGAAGGAUUACAAGUCGGGGCUCCAUGGCUCCAUAAUAACCUGCUGGGCUGUCUCAAAUGAACAACCAUCUUUUUU